RNAcentral lists this ribosomal RNA (301 nucleotides) under uncultured bacterium. Its description in RNAcentral is "partial 16S ribosomal RNA". It matches the Rfam family "Bacterial small subunit ribosomal RNA", at positions 509 to 807 of the family's 1533-position model. The record is from RNAcentral.
CAGCCGCCACGGUAAUACAUAGGUGGCAAGCGUUGUCCGGAAUUAUUGGGCGUAAAGGGCUCGCAGGCGGUUUCUUAAGUCUGAUGUGAAAGCCCCCGGCUCAACCGGGGAGGGUCAUUGGAAACUGGGAAACUUGAGUGCAGAAGAGGAGAGUGGAAUUCCACGUGUAGCGGUGAGAUGCGUAGAGAUGUGGAGGAACACCAGUGGCGAAGGCGACUCUCUGGUCUGUAACUGACGCUGAGGAGCGAAAGCGUGGGGAGCGAACAGGAUUAGAUACCCCGGUAGUCCCUGUCUCUUAUAC